Ictalurus punctatus (channel catfish) is the source of this 594-nucleotide long non-coding RNA. The record is from Ensembl. Lineage: Eukaryota; Metazoa; Chordata; Actinopteri; Siluriformes; Ictaluridae.
AGGAGAAGGAGUACGAACAGAGUUAUCCACAGUGUAGAAACAAGUAAUAUGAAGUGUUCCAGGAGAACUUCGUCCUGUCCACCUGAUCAUUCUACCCAGAGAGAGACAACACAAAUCUAAAACUCUCUCCAUCAUGUCAGCUCUCAGUCACUGGUUCUGAACUGAUCAGGUGGACAGGACGAAGUUCUCCUGGAACACUUCAUAUUACUUGUUUCUACACUGUGGAUAACUCUGUUCGUACUCCUUCUCCUCACUCUCUCCCAGCUCCAGUCACAGUGCUGAAUCAGAAACCGAGACUAAGCGUCAGUCAUGAUGGUCAGUUUGAUGAAUUGAGAUUUGUGUGUGAAAUAUCAGGGUCAGAGUCAGUAACUGCUGAUUUUAGCUGUAAUCUCUACACUGGAGAAAAUCCUCAGCUUUUCCUAAACCAAACAUCUCAAAAGAGAAAAUCUGGGAAGGUUUGUAGUUUUACAGCACAGAGAGACGCUGUGUUUAAUCGUCUGCAGUCAGUAAAGAGUCGUGAAGUGAGCUGUGAUUAUUCACUGAUCUCUGACCCGACUGCUCGCUCUCUAAUGAGUGAUAAAUACAACAUGACGC